CUAGAAAAUCACACACAUCAAGUAUUACACUUAUAUCUAAUUAUAUAUAUACUUAGUCUAGACUAUUUUAUAUUUACAGCAUUUGUGAUAUUACUUUCUUAAUAACUGUAUUUAAACUGGAGCGCCCGGAGUUUUACCCACCACUUUUGGCAGAGCGUUGACUCGCUUUUUUCACAUGAGUCCAAAGCGAGAAUCGACCUGAAGAUAAAUUCAUGUUAGAUACAUGCAUGUAAUGGAACAUUUUAGCAUUAUCCGCCCAGUGCUCCCACAUUGCGGAGUCGAAGAUAAUGACCAUGAACAUAAUAACCAUGCAUGCCUUGAAACACAAUAUAAAACACAUAGCUAACUAAAAGCCAUGGCCAACUAUUUAUUAAUAAAGUGUUUAGUCUAGUCUAGUUUAGUUUAGUUUAGUUUAAUGAAUUUGCCAUAUAUUACAUAAUCAUCAUUAUAACUAUAGUCUAUAAGUAUAUGACAGGAGUUUGAACAGGACUUGCGUCCCAAUUGCAACAGAACCCUUUACAUAAAACUCCAAAAAUAUAUUGGCGAAACAACAAUAAAUUAUAAAGUCAAAUAAAUAAAUAAAUAAAUACACUUAUUUAUGUAUUUAUAUAUUUAGUAUUAUGUAGAUAAUACUAUACUAAGGAGGAUUAGAUGAAUAAAAUUAAAAGUUAUAAAUGGCUUCGGAAUGUUCGAAUGGAUUUGCACUGUUUCACCUGAGAUGGCAAAGUGUUCCAGAGUUCGGCUGUUUUUU
Molecule: non-coding RNA, 751 nt
Organism: Paramuricea clavata
Lineage: Eukaryota; Metazoa; Cnidaria; Anthozoa; Malacalcyonacea; Plexauridae
Source: the annotation of a GenBank genome assembly